UUUUACAAUGAAGAGUUUGAUCCUGGCUCAGGAUGAACGCUAGCUACAGGCUUAACACAUGCAAGUCGAGGGGCAGCAUGGUCUUAGCUUGCUAAGGCCGAUGGCGACCGGCGCACGGGUGAGUAACACGUAUCCAACCUGCCGUCUACUCUUGGACAGCCUUCUGAAAGGAAGAUUAAUACAAGAUGGCAUCAUGAGUCCGCAUGUUCACAUGAUUAAAGGUAUUCCGGUAGACGAUGGGGAUGCGUUCCAUUAGAUAGUAGGCGGGGUAACGGCCCACCUAGUCUUCGAUGGAUAGGGGUUCUGAGAGGAAGGUCCCCCACAUUGGAACUGAGACACGGUCCAAACUCCUACGGGAGGCAGCAGUGAGGAAUAUUGGUCAAUGGGCGAGAGCCUGAACCAGCCAAGUAGCGUGAAGGAUGACUGCCCUAUGGGUUGUAAACUUCUUUUAUAAAGGAAUAAAGUCGGGUAUGCAUACCCGUUUGCAUGUACUUUAUGAAUAAGGAUCGGCUAACUCCGUGCCAGCAGCCGCGGUAAUACGGAGGAUCCGAGCGUUAUCCGGAUUUAUUGGGUUUAAAGGGAGCGUAGAUGGAUGUUUAAGUCAGUUGUGAAAGUUUGCGGCUCAACCGUAAAAUUGCAGUUGAUACUGGAUAUCUUGAGUGCAGUUGAGGCAGGCGGAAUUCGUGGUGUAGCGGUGAAAUGCUUAGAUAUCACGAAGAACUCCGAUUGCGAAGGCAGCCUGCUAAGCUGCAACUGACAUUGAGGCUCGAAAGUGUGGGUAUCAAACAGGAUUAGAUACCCUGGUAGUCCACACGGUAAACGAUGAAUACUCGCUGUUUGCGAUAUACAGCAAGCGGCCAAGCGAAAGCGUUAAGUAUUCCACCUGGGGAGUACGCCGGCAACGGUGAAACUCAAAGGAAUUGACGGGGGCCCGCACAAGCGGAGGAACAUGUGGUUUAAUUCGAUGAUACGCGAGGAACCUUACCCGGGCUUAAAUUGCAGAUGAAUUACGGUGAAAGCCGUAAGCCGCAAGGCAUCUGUGAAGGUGCUGCAUGGUUGUCGUCAGCUCGUGCCGUGAGGUGUCGGCUUAAGUGCCAUAACGAGCGCAACCCUUGUUGUCAGUUACUAACAGGUUCCGCUGAGGACUCUGACAAGACUGCCAUCGUAAGAUGUGAGGAAGGUGGGGAUGACGUCAAAUCAGCACGGCCCUUACGUCCGGGGCUACACACGUGUUACAAUGGGGGGUACAGAGGGCCGCUACCACGCGAGUGGAUGCCAAUCCCCAAAACCUCUCUCAGUUCGGACUGGAGUCUGCAACCCGACUCCACGAAGCUGGAUUCGCUAGUAAUCGCGCAUCAGCCACGGCGCGGUGAAUACGUUCCCGGGCCUUGUACACACCGCCCGUCAAGCCAUGGGAGCCGGGGGUACCUGAAGUGCGUAACCGCGAGGAGCGCCCUAGGGUAAAACUGGUGACUGGGGCUAAGUCGUAACAAGGUAGCCGUACCGGAAGGUGCGGCUGGAACACCUCCUUUCU
Molecule: ribosomal RNA, 1534 nt
Filed under: Phocaeicola vulgatus
Lineage: Bacteria; Pseudomonadati; Bacteroidota; Bacteroidia; Bacteroidales; Bacteroidaceae
Description: bacterial SSU rRNA
Rfam family: Bacterial small subunit ribosomal RNA
Source: RNAcentral